Molecule: ribosomal RNA, 324 nt
Filed under: uncultured eukaryote
Lineage: Eukaryota
Description: partial 18S ribosomal RNA
Rfam family: Eukaryotic small subunit ribosomal RNA
Source: RNAcentral
CCCUUAGAUGUUCUGGGCCGCACGCGCGCUACACUGAUGCAUUCAACGAGUUUCUUCCUGGUCCGAGAGGAAUGGGUAACCUUUUGAAAGUGCAUCGUGAUAGGGAUAGACUAUUGCAAUUAUUGGUCUUCAACGAGGAAUUCUUAGUAGACGUAGUUCAUCAGACUGCAUCGAUUACGUCCCUGCCCUUUGUACACACCGCCCGUCGCUCCUACCGAUUGAAUGCUCAGGUGAGCCAUUCGGACUUUCAUCAUGCUGGUUUCCAGUUUUGAUGAAGGAAAGUCUUGCGAACCUUAUCAUUUAGAGGAAGGAGAAGUCGUAACA